Molecule: long non-coding RNA, 369 nt
Filed under: Malus domestica (apple)
Lineage: Eukaryota; Viridiplantae; Streptophyta; Magnoliopsida; Rosales; Rosaceae
Description: long non-coding RNA (MDOM_LNC007075)
Source: RNAcentral
GUGGGCGCAGUGGCCGGAGGUCUUGGUGCACUGGCAUUGGAUGAGGGGUUAAGGUAUGAAGAAGAUAAGAUGGCGGAGAGGGUCGAGAAUGACAUGGGUGAGCGUGAUGAGUACAGCAAUUAUCGUGCAGAUUACUGAUUGAAUCGUGGUUUAGGUAUGCUUUAAUUACUAAAGCGCAAUGGUAAAUGGGCGGUUUCACAAUUCGCACUGUAUAUGUAUAUGGUUUUAUGUGGAAUUUGGUUUCGGUCUUUUGGAUGGUUGUUGCCGACUGAAUUAAGACAAAGAUUUAAACUUUGUUGUUAAGUCAGUGUUUCAUUUAAUGAAAUAAAUGCUGGUUUGCUAUUGAAAUUUAUGCGGAGCUCGUAAUGU